GCCUUCGUGGUGUAGAGGUCAGGACGCUUGGCGUAUUCGAGAAGUCCGCGGUUCGAGUCCCGGCGAGGGCA
RNAcentral lists this transfer RNA (71 nucleotides) under Stegodyphus mimosarum. It matches the Rfam family "tRNA". From Rfam's summary of the family: Transfer RNA (tRNA) molecules are approximately 80 nucleotides in length. Their secondary structure includes four short double-helical elements and three loops (D, anti-codon, and T loops). The record is from Rfam by way of RNAcentral. Lineage: Eukaryota; Metazoa; Arthropoda; Arachnida; Araneae; Eresidae.